GACGAAGGAUCCAAGCGUUAUCCGGAUUCAUUGGGUUUAAAGGGAGCGUAGGCGGACUUAUAAGUCAGUGGUGAAAGCCGAUAGCUUAACUAUCGAAUUGCCAUUGAUACUGUAGGUCUAGAGUACAGAUGAUGUUGGCGGAAUAUGACAUGUAGCGGUGAAAUGCAUAGAUAUGUCAUAGAACACCAAUUGCGAAGGCAGUUGACUACGCCAGUAUUGACGCUGAGGCACGAAAGCGUGGGGAUCAAACAGG
Molecule: ribosomal RNA, 253 nt
Filed under: uncultured prokaryote
Description: partial 16S ribosomal RNA
Rfam family: Bacterial small subunit ribosomal RNA
Source: RNAcentral